This 253-nucleotide ribosomal RNA is filed under the name uncultured bacterium. RNAcentral's name for it is "partial 16S ribosomal RNA". It matches the Rfam family "Bacterial small subunit ribosomal RNA", at positions 524 to 776 of the family's 1533-position model. The record is from RNAcentral.
UACAGAGGGGGCAAGCGUUAUUCGGAAUUAUUGGGCGUAAAGGGCGCGUAGGCGGCGAUUCAAGUGACGGGUGAAAGCCCUCGGCUUAACCGAGGAACUGCCUGUCAGACUGUAAGGCUUGAGACCGGGAGAGGUGAGUGGAAUUCCCAGUGUAGCGGUGAAAUGCGUAGAUAUUGGGAGGAACACCAGUGGCGAAGGCGGCUCACUGGACCGGAACUGACGCUGAGGCGCGAAAGCGUGGGGAGCAAACAGG